RNAcentral lists this ribosomal RNA (512 nucleotides) under uncultured bacterium. Its description in RNAcentral is "partial 16S ribosomal RNA". It matches the Rfam family "Bacterial small subunit ribosomal RNA", at positions 28 to 523 of the family's 1533-position model. The record is from RNAcentral.
GACGAACGCUGGCGGCGUGCCUAAUACAUGCAAGUCGAGCGGAUUGAUGGGAGCUUGCUCCCUGAUAUCAGCGGCGGACGGGUGAGUAACACGUGGGCAACCUGCCUAUAAGACUGGGAUAACUUCGGGAACCCGGAGCUAAUACCGGAUAAUCCCUUUCCUCUCAUGAGGAAAGGCUGAAAGAUGGUUUACGCUAUCACUUAUAGAUGGGCCCGCGGCGCAUUAGCUAGUUGGUGAGGUAACGGCUCACCAAGGCAACGAUGCGUAGCCGACCUGAGAGGGUGAUCGGCCACACUGGGACUGAGACACGGCCCAGACUCCUACGGGAGGCAGCAGUAGGGAAUCUUCCGCAAUGGACGAAAGUCUGACGGAGCAACGCCGCGUGAGUGAUGAAGGUUUUCGGAUCGUAAAACUCUGUUGUUAGGGAAGAACAAGUACGAGAGUAACUGCUCGUACCUUGACGGUACCUAACCAGAAAGCCACGGCUAACUACGUGCCAACAGCCGCCGCGG